This 459-nucleotide ribosomal RNA is filed under the name uncultured bacterium. Its description in RNAcentral is "partial 16S ribosomal RNA". It matches the Rfam family "Bacterial small subunit ribosomal RNA", at positions 338 to 795 of the family's 1533-position model. The record is from RNAcentral.
CCUACGGGUGGCAGCAGUGAGGAAUAUUGGUCAAUGGGCGGAAGCCUGAACCAGCCACGUCGCGUGAGGGAAGACGGUCUUAUGGAUUGUAAACUCUUUUUGUCGGGGCACACAGGCGCCCACGGGUCUGCGGAUGACCGUACCCGAAGAAAAAGCAUCGGCUAACUUCGUGCCAGCAGCGGCGGCAAUAGGGGGGAUGCGUGGGUUAUACGGAUUUGUUGGGUUAAAGGGGGGGGGAGGCGGACAGCAAAGUCAGCGGUAAAGAUGCGGGGCUAAACGCCGUAGAGCCGUUGAAACUGGGAGUCUUGAGUGGGCGAGAGGUAUGCGGAAUGCGGGGUGUAGCGGUGAAAUGCGUAGAUAUAAGGAGGAACACCAGUGGCGAAGGCGGCAUACUGGCGCGCAACUGACGCUGAGGCACGAAAGCGUGGGUAGCAAACAGGAUUAGAUACCCGUGUAGUC